RNAcentral lists this long non-coding RNA (206 nucleotides) under Solanum tuberosum (potato). RNAcentral's name for it is "long non-coding RNA (STUB_LNC011504)". Lineage: Eukaryota; Viridiplantae; Streptophyta; Magnoliopsida; Solanales; Solanaceae. The record is from RNAcentral.
CAUGUCAUACCCAACCAAGUGCUAGCAAUGGUGGUGCCUUCCGGUAGCGAACCGGGAUCAUAUUCGCCAACUUGUGGCCAUCUGUGUCUCAUACGUAUAAAUAUAGGCAAUAGGCCCCAUACCUUCCGAUUAUAGCUCGGAAGUAGAAUGCAUAGCAUGUAAUGUCAUGGAUCCGUAAUGCAUUUGUUACCUGAAUCAUGUUGCCA